ACCUUAGAGCAUCUCCAAUGGCUUGAUAUUAGAGUUCUCUCAGUGGGUUCUCAGAAUAAAAUUGUGAAAAAUUAAAUCAGAAAUCGUUUUUACAGAGAGAGCUGUCUCUCUUGAGAGAAACUUUGAAAGAGAAGAGAGACGUGUACGUGUCACGUUUUGGAUGUUUUGUUUGACAAAACUGAAAAAAAAAAAACGCCUGAAGGAAAAUACUUUGUCAAUUUCUAUUUUUCGCGAAACUCUCUCGAAACCAAACGACAAUGAAAACGCUGGUGAUGGCGACGGAGCCGGUCGUUUGCUCCGACGAUUGCGGGUUGAAUUUAAGCAGUCGAUAUGUUGUAUGAGCAGUGGUUGCGCAAGAGCAAUGGUUGGGCCGGAUUCAUCCUUCUCGAAGGCGGUGGUCACGUCGAUUUGAGAUUACGGCAGAAGGAAGACGGGUUACACUUUAUAAUGGUUACCUGAUUAUAGUGGCUUUAAAAUUUGAUUUGAGCUUCAACAAGCUACAUGGACCAAGGUUUGACAGAUGGCAAUUAGCCAUGACAAUCGUGUAAGGACUACCUCUGUGGAUUGCAAGCUAGGAUCCGCAAACUUGAAGAGAGGGCUCAAGGGAGAACUAAAGAAGCAGCAAAAUGUUGUUGGAAACGUGUGAACUAAUAAUUUAUUUUUUUCAUGAAAACCCAAUAAAGAGAGACUACUAUUGGACACUGCAAAAUAAAAAAAAUUUAACAGAAUCUCUCAUCUCAUCAAUUUGAAAAAUUUAUUCUUAAAAAAAUGGUGAGAGCCCA
This 782-nucleotide small RNA is filed under the name Arabidopsis thaliana (thale cress). Its description in RNAcentral is "[] (AT2G45023)". Lineage: Eukaryota; Viridiplantae; Streptophyta; Magnoliopsida; Brassicales; Brassicaceae. The record is from RNAcentral.